Caretta caretta (loggerhead turtle) is the source of this 1375-nucleotide non-coding RNA. Lineage: Eukaryota; Metazoa; Chordata; Testudines; Cheloniidae. The record is from RefSeq and is a predicted model, not a curated record.
AAGGGUGACAGAAAGGUCAGUUAGCUGAUCAGCUGGCUGGUCAUAGCUGACUCAUAUUGGUUACAACUUGUUCUAAAGGUCAACGCUGUCACUGGUGCUCUGAAGUCAUGGUUGAUACUAAGUAUGUGUGAAUGAGGUAAUUGCUUCUAAGAACAGAAAGAUAUAUUAGAAGAGGGCAAGACUAUAGCAUAAAAGCUCAGCUGUCAGCAGGCAGGAUUUGAAUUAGAGAAAGAGAGUUGAUUGGGAGAAGAUGGACAAAUUGGAACUCAGCCAGGGGAGCCAAAGAAGAGCUACUGGAAAGAAGUUUGAAAAGCUACUGCAGAAGGAGAGAGAGAAAAGACAACCGGAGCAGAGCAAAGCUGACUGAUUAGGAGCUGAGCCGCAACAGUGAUUAAAGAAAAAUACCAAAACAGCAAUGGUGAUUUAAAGGGAUACCAACGAAUUUAUAAAUUCUCAUCCACUGGAUAGAAACUCUCCCACCAUAUGCUCAAUAGGCAACCAGGUGGCCUCCAUCUGCUCCCCCUCGUAGAUCUGAGUGGAGACAGAGCAGCCAGGAGGAGCCGACAAGCAGCAGUGGUAGCGGUGGCAGCAGCAGCAGAAAGUGGAGUCUACAAGGACAGAAGGUCAGAGGGGCCCAGUACUAGCCCAAAGCAGGCCUGAGAAAAGGUUUUGUACCAUAACCUGAAGGAAAACAGAUUUGGACCAUUGCUGACAAGGGAAGGCAGAAUGAAUUCCAAAGAAAAAGUAGCCCUCAUAAAGAAUGCCCUGCCAGCCCCCACUCUCCCCUAUAAACCAACAAGGCUCCAGCCAAACACCUCCACCAUUUACAGCUGUGGCAAACACACACAGGAAGAGACACGUCUCUCAAGUAGGCAAAUCUCAAGACUUUUAAGACUUUAUAGAUUAAAACCAACAUCUUCAACUCUACUUCUACAAGCAGAGGCAAGCAGAUCUGGGCAGGGGCCAGGAAGGGAAGACUUGAGGCUGUGUGGCAAGCUUCUCCAUCCUUUUGUUCACAGAAGUCCCUCCAUGGAUGGUCUGAAGGGGCCAAGCUCUGUGGGUGGUUGGCUGGGGCUCCACCCCCCCAGGGAAUUCUAGUGUAAAUUAAUUCUGAACCUUUAAGCCUCACUUAGGCUGAUUUCCUCACCAUGGCAUGGCCCUCCCCUGCACCCAGAGGCAGCAGUGGAGGGAGGUAUUGGCAUUGGCACUCAGGGACACUAUGGCCCAGAUCCUUAGGGGUUCCUCCACUCAACACUGCAAUGCCCAAACCCUAAGUGGCCUGCCACCCAGUGGAAUUUUCACCCUGAAGCCAGGCACCGAGGCGCCUCAUACAAUGCAUGUUAGGAGCCUCAGGAAGAGAUUGUCUGAAGCCAGC